RNAcentral lists this non-coding RNA (29 nucleotides) under Rattus norvegicus (Norway rat). Lineage: Eukaryota; Metazoa; Chordata; Mammalia; Rodentia; Muridae. The record is from RNAcentral.
UGUCAUGGUGGAGAGGGAGGGAAGGGGGU